RNAcentral lists this transfer RNA (88 nucleotides) under Syntrophaceae bacterium PtaB.Bin038. RNAcentral's name for it is "tRNA-Leu". It matches the Rfam family "tRNA". From Rfam's summary of the family: Transfer RNA (tRNA) molecules are approximately 80 nucleotides in length. Their secondary structure includes four short double-helical elements and three loops (D, anti-codon, and T loops). RNAcentral also lists the same sequence under 5 other names. The record is from RNAcentral. Lineage: Bacteria; Pseudomonadati; Thermodesulfobacteriota; Syntrophia; Syntrophales; Syntrophaceae.
GCCGGAGUGGUGAAACUGGUAGACGCAGGGGACUCAAAAUCCCCCGCCCCCUGGGGGCGUGACGGUUCGAUUCCGUCCUCCGGCACCA